AUUGAACGCUGGCGGCAGGCCUAACACAUGCAAGUCGAACGAGUGGCGGACGGGUUAGUAAUGUCUGUGAAACUGCCUGAUGGAGGGGGAUAACUACUGGACACUGUAACUAAUACCGCAUACCAUCAGAUGUGCCCAGAUGGGAUUAGCUUGUUGGUGGGGUAACGGCCUACCAAGGCGACGAUCCCUAGCUGGUCUGAGAGGAUGACCAGCCACACUGGAACUGAGACACGGUCCAGACUCCUACGUGAGGCAGCAGUGGGGAAUAUUGGACAAUGGGCGAAAGCCUGAUCCAGCCAUGCCGCGUGUGUGAAGAAGGUCUUCGGAUUGUAAAGCACUUUAAGUUGGGAGGCGUUACCAACAGAAUAAGCACCGGCUAACUUCGUGCCAGCAGCCGCGGUAAUUC
Molecule: ribosomal RNA, 406 nt
Filed under: uncultured bacterium
Lineage: Bacteria
Description: partial 16S ribosomal RNA
Rfam family: Bacterial small subunit ribosomal RNA
Source: RNAcentral